GGAUUACCAUGAUCUCAAGCAAAACCUUGGACUGUUUUACUGAACUUUUGGAGGACUUUUGGACCUACUAGACAGCACUCAUUUCAUAGCAUUAUGGGAUAAUUAAGGUUGGAAAUUACUUCAGGAAGGGAUUAUCCAUCUCUACGUAGAAGCUGUUGGACCUCACCUGAAGUACUGUGCCUGGUCUGUCUGUCUCAAUUAUUGAAGUGCCCACCUGGAAGACCUUGGGAAUGCCAUUUACAGAGUUAGGCUUCAGAAGUUUUCAUCACUCUCUAUAAGCUCUUUCAGAAGGUUUUCACCCUGACAUAAGGUAGCAUUGA
Long non-coding RNA from Melopsittacus undulatus (budgerigar), 320 nucleotides. RefSeq lists it as uncharacterized. Lineage: Eukaryota; Metazoa; Chordata; Aves; Psittaciformes; Psittaculidae. The transcript is spliced from 3 exons. The record is from RefSeq and is a predicted model, not a curated record.